GUCGAUGAUAGAUUCAACCAACUCCAACAAAUAUUAUGACCUAACAGCAAUCUCUUGCCAGGCUAGAAGUACUAAUAAGUUAAUUAGCUGAAUCUUCUAUGAGGAGAGAACUAGGUCAAUUAUCGAGCCAACAAAUAUCAAAUUUUGAAAAUAAUCCAACCACCCACCAACCACCUGGACCUAGUCAACAAUCCAAUAUCCCACCUAAGAAUCUCCAAUUUGAAAAUGACAAAGUAAUCUCUGAGCUU
This 248-nucleotide long non-coding RNA is filed under the name Elaeis guineensis (African oil palm). Its description in RNAcentral is "long non-coding RNA (EGUI_LNC046230)". Lineage: Eukaryota; Viridiplantae; Streptophyta; Magnoliopsida; Arecales; Arecaceae. The record is from RNAcentral.